GUCAGAUGUGGCGUAGUGGUUUGAGUGUUGGACUAUAACUCUGGAGACCAGGGUUCAAUUUCCUGCUCAGCCA
This 73-nucleotide transfer RNA is filed under the name Phrynosoma platyrhinos (Desert horned lizard). RNAcentral describes it as "tRNA-OTHER". The record is from RNAcentral. Lineage: Eukaryota; Metazoa; Chordata; Lepidosauria; Squamata; Phrynosomatidae.